RNAcentral lists this ribosomal RNA (466 nucleotides) under uncultured bacterium. RNAcentral's name for it is "partial 16S ribosomal RNA". It matches the Rfam family "Bacterial small subunit ribosomal RNA", at positions 28 to 507 of the family's 1533-position model. The record is from RNAcentral.
GAUGAACGCUGGCGGCGUGCUUAACACAUGCAAGUCGAACGGAAAGGCUCCUGCUUGCAGGGGUACUCGAGUGGCGAACGGGUGAGUAACACGUGGGUGAUCUGCCCUGCACUUCGGGAUAAGCCUGGGAAACUGGGUCUAAUACCGGAUAGGACGAUGGUUUGGAUGCCAUUGUGGAAAGUUUUUUCGGUGUGGGAUGAGCUCGCGGCCUACCAGCUUGUUGGUGGGGUAAUGGCCUACCAAGGCGUCGACGGGUAGCCGGCCUGAGAGGGUGUACGGCCACAUUGGGACUGAGAUACGGCCCAGACUCCUACGGGAGGCAGCAGUGGGGAAUAUUGUACAAUGGGCGCAAGCCUGAUGCAGCGACGCCGCGUGGGGGAUGACGGCCUUCGGGUUGUAAACUCCUUUCGCUAGGGACGAAGCGCAAGUGACGGUACCUGGAGAAGAAGCACCGGCUAACUACGUG